RNAcentral lists this ribosomal RNA (1404 nucleotides) under Lactiplantibacillus plantarum. Its description in RNAcentral is "bacterial SSU rRNA". It matches the Rfam family "Bacterial small subunit ribosomal RNA", at positions 63 to 1437 of the family's 1533-position model. The record is from RNAcentral. Lineage: Bacteria; Bacillati; Bacillota; Bacilli; Lactobacillales; Lactobacillaceae.
CGAACUCUGGUAUUGAUUGGUGCUUGCAUCAUGAUUUACAUUUGAGUGAGUGGCGAACUGGUGAGUAACACGUGGGAAACCUGCCCAGAAGCGGGGGAUAACACCUGGAAACAGAUGCUAAUACCGCAUAACAACUUGGACCGCAUGGUCCGAGCUUGAAAGAUGGCUUCGGCUAUCACUUUUGGAUGGUCCCGCGGCGUAUUAGCUAGAUGGUGGGGUAACGGCUCACCAUGGCAAUGAUACGUAGCCGACCUGAGAGGGUAAUCGGCCACAUUGGGACUGAGACACGGCCCAAACUCCUACGGGAGGCAGCAGUAGGGAAUCUUCCACAAUGGACGAAAGUCUGAUGGAGCAACGCCGCGUGAGUGAAGAAGGGUUUCGGCUCGUAAAACUCUGUUGUUAAAGAAGAACAUAUCUGAGAGUAACUGUUCAGGUAUUGACGGUAUUUAACCAGAAAGCCACGGCUAACUACGUGCCAGCAGCCGCGGUAAUACGUAGGUGGCAAGCGUUGUCCGGAUUUAUUGGGCGUAAAGCGAGCGCAGGCGGUUUUUUAAGUCUGAUGUGAAAGCCUUCGGCUCAACCGAAGAAGUGCAUCGGAAACUGGGAAACUUGAGUGCAGAAGAGGACAGUGGAACUCCAUGUGUAGCGGUGAAAUGCGUAGAUAUAUGGAAGAACACCAGUGGCGAAGGCGGCUGUCUGGUCUGUAACUGACGCUGAGGCUCGAAAGUAUGGGUAGCAAACAGGAUUAGAUACCCUGGUAGUCCAUACCGUAAACGAUGAAUGCUAAGUGUUGGAGGGUUUCCGCCCUUCAGUGCUGCAGCUAACGCAUUAAGCAUUCCGCCUGGGGAGUACGGCCGCAAGGCUGAAACUCAAAGGAAUUGACGGGGGCCCGCACAAGCGGUGGAGCAUGUGGUUUAAUUCGAAGCUACGCGAAGAACCUUACCAGGUCUUGACAUACUAUGCAAAUCUAAGAGAUUAGACGUUCCCUUCGGGGACAUGGAUACAGGUGGUGCAUGGUUGUCGUCAGCUCGUGUCGUGAGAUGUUGGGUUAAGUCCCGCAACGAGCGCAACCCUUAUUAUCAGUUGCCAGCAUUAAGUUGGGCACUCUGGUGAGACUGCCGGUGACAAACCGGAGGAAGGUGGGGAUGACGUCAAAUCAUCAUGCCCCUUAUGACCUGGGCUACACACGUGCUACAAUGGAUGGUACAACGAGUUGCGAACUCGCGAGAGUAAGCUAAUCUCUUAAAGCCAUUCUCAGUUCGGAUUGUAGGCUGCAACUCGCCUACAUGAAGUCGGAAUCGCUAGUAAUCGCGGAUCAGCAUGCCGCGGUGAAUACGUUCCCGGGCCUUGUACACACCGCCCGUCACACCAUGAGAGUUUGUAACACCCAAAGUCGGUGGGGUA